Molecule: non-coding RNA, 28 nt
Filed under: Mus musculus (house mouse)
Lineage: Eukaryota; Metazoa; Chordata; Mammalia; Rodentia; Muridae
Source: RNAcentral
UGAUUUAGUAUGUGAUAUUUGAGAUGAC